RNAcentral lists this long non-coding RNA (781 nucleotides) under Rattus norvegicus (Norway rat). RNAcentral describes it as "long non-coding RNA NONRATT007049". The record is from RNAcentral. Lineage: Eukaryota; Metazoa; Chordata; Mammalia; Rodentia; Muridae.
UAAAAACAGAACAGUUAAGAAGGGGUUGGAGGUAAGACAAUCAUUCACGUCUAGAUUACUGAGUGUUUAAAGAGACAGUAGGCUCUGGAGAGGUGAUAGGUCUGCCAUUUCCAAGAUAUAGAGAGAUUAACUGGAUGCACUCACCUUUAACCUUGCAAGGAUUUCUAAAGAGAACUCAGAAUUCUUGAAUUGUCCUGGACUUUGAGACAAGGUAAUCGUCCUGAAGCUGGGCUCAAGUGACCUAUCUCUGAGGCUAGAAGCAGCCUGUGCCAUAUGACCCAAUCCAACAACGAAUUGCCUUUGCCUAUAUCAGUUAAUGAGUAGACUUUGGACCCGAAAGACAGUUAAAACUCCCGGCAGCUAAGGAGAGGACCCAUUUCCUCCUUGGAUUAUCAAGCAAAAGCAGCUAACAUGAAAGGCUUCCUGCUUCUCUUUCUCUGUCUCCUUUUGGGGACCUCGGGACUGACUCAGUCGUCUGGUGGUGCCAGCUCUCCCACCACAGCACCGACUAAGCCCACCAUUAGUUCAUCUCAGACCUCUACGACAGCUCCGCCUCCUGGUGGUGCCAGCUCUCCCACCACAGCACCGACUAAGCCCACCACUAGUUCAUCUCAGACCUCUACGACAGCUCCGCCUCCUGGUGGUGCCAGCUCUCCCACCACAGCACCGACUAAGCCCACCACUAGUUCAUCUCAGACCUCUACGACAGCUCCGCCUCCUGGUGGUGCCAGCUCUCCCACCACAGUACCGACUAAGCCCACCGGUAGUUCAUCUCAGACCU